AGCUCCAAUAGCGUAUAUUAAAGUUGCUGCAGUUAAAAAGCUCGUAGUUGGAUUUCUGGCUUGUAAUAUCUUGCCGGCCACGGUUUCGUGUGUUAGUGCAUGAUGUUCUGGCCAUCCUUCCAAUUGCUGCUCACUUCUCUUCACUGAUUAGUGAGUAGUAUUGGAUCUUUUACUUUGAAAAAAUUAGAGUGUUUAAAGCAGGCUAUUGCUAUGAAUACAUUAGCAUGGAAUAAUAAUUUAGGACUUCGGUUCUAUUUUGUUGGUUUCUAGGACUGAAGUAAUGAUUGAUAGGGUCAGUUGGGGGUGCUAGUAUUCAGCGGCCAGAGGUGAAAUUCUUGGAUUCGCUGAAGACUAACUUAUGCGAAAGCAUUCACCAAGGAUGUCUUCU
RNAcentral lists this ribosomal RNA (388 nucleotides) under uncultured eukaryote. RNAcentral's name for it is "SSU rRNA". It matches the Rfam family "Eukaryotic small subunit ribosomal RNA", at positions 587 to 972 of the family's 1831-position model. The record is from RNAcentral.